AAUUUUUUCCCCCUUCCUCCCCACCACCCUCCCCAAGAUGGCGCACAAUCUGAUAUAGGCUAUGCAUAUACAUUCCUGUUAAACAUUUUUUCACAUUAGUGAUGUGGUAAGAAAGAAUUAGAACCAAUAGGAGAAACCACCAGAAAGAGGAAACAAAGCUCAACAGAAGAAAAAAAAAUAACAUAGUAUGCUUUGAUCUGCAUUCAAACUCCAUAGUUCUUUCUUUGGAUGUGGAUAGCAUUUUCCACCACGAGGCCUUUGAAGAUGUCGUAGAUCCUUGUAUUGCUGGGAAGGGUUAAGUUUAUCAAUAUUAGUCAUUGCACAAUGUGCUGUUACUAUGUACAACAUUGUCCUGGUUCUGCUCACUUCACUCAGCAUCAGACCAUAUGUCUUUCCAGGUUUUUCUGAAGUUUGCCUGCUUAUCAUUUCUUAUAGCACAGUAGUAUUCCAUUAUGUUCAUAUGCCACAACUUGUUCAGCCAUUCCCCAAUUGAUGGGCAUUCUCUCAAUUUCCAAUUUAGCCUCAGUUUUCUCAUCUGCAAAAUGGGGAUACAAAUCAUCCUACGGGGUUGUUGUGAGCAUGGAAUGAGAUAAUGUAUGUUACUAGCCGUAUAAUCCAUAAAGCAUUAUCUGAGGGUGAGCUGUCAUUUUCUCUAAUUGGUCACAUCAUGUACUUGGUGUGACCUAAGGUCCUUGAGGUCAGGGCCCAUCACUCCUUUACUGCUCUCUUAGGUUCUAGGGGAGGGCUUCAUAAAUGUUUGCUUCCAGAAUGCACCUGGCUCUGACCUUGAAGGCAGAAAGAUGCGCAGAUGCCGACCUUGACUUUUCAUUUUUUGUCCCUCAUACAGGUUUCUAGCUCAUGUUCAUCCACUUCCCCCUCUGUGGGGAAGGAGGUAAAGACUGUUCCCCUCUCCCCAGCCUCGAAAGCCAGCCUGGAUUUCCCAGAAGGCAUCGGCCACUCAAAGCCAGACCUUGCUGAGCUCAAGUCUCGGCUGCAGAAGGUUCGGGAGCUGACCCACAGAGCCGCACCCCUCACCUCCACCCCGAAUGCCAGUGUCAGCCUCAAAAACCGACUGCAGCGUGCCCGGGAGCUGGGGGCCCGGAUCCAGGCUGGGACUUCUGCUGGCGAGAAGAAAAGUGAAGAGCCAGGGCCCCAGGAGGUGGGGGACCCCACAGUGGAGCCAUGGUGAGAGCCUGGUAGGGAGGGGAGCGGGGGACAAGAGCCUGAGAGGCCUAACAUGCCCCACAACCAUGAACCCAGCAACAUUCUCCCUCCUCCUGGUGAUACAGAAAGAAUCUGAGGCUUUGUCAGUCUGCGGGGAUAGACAUCCAUGGCAGGUGGGCUUGGUGCUCAGUUGAACAUUCCCACUUAGCAUUCUUCCCCGCCCCCCCAAAAUACAGGGUAUCUGUCCCAAAAGUCUUAGUGAAGUUUUAAGCCAUUAAAAAUGUUAACAGCUAUUUUAAUAAGUUACUUUAAUAAUUUAAGGAAAAAAACAUUUUUAAUUUUACAAAACUUUG
Molecule: long non-coding RNA, 1517 nt
Filed under: Vombatus ursinus (common wombat)
Lineage: Eukaryota; Metazoa; Chordata; Mammalia; Diprotodontia; Vombatidae
Description: lncRNA (ENSVURG00010020817.1)
Source: RNAcentral